RNAcentral lists this transfer RNA (71 nucleotides) under Nyctimene cephalotes. RNAcentral describes it as "tRNA-Lys". It matches the Rfam family "tRNA". From Rfam's summary of the family: Transfer RNA (tRNA) molecules are approximately 80 nucleotides in length. Their secondary structure includes four short double-helical elements and three loops (D, anti-codon, and T loops). Further hydrogen bonds mediate the characteristic L-shaped molecular structure. tRNAs have two regions of fundamental functional importance: the anti-codon, which is responsible for specific mRNA codon recognition, and the 3' end, to which the tRNAs corresponding amino acid is attached (by aminoacyl-tRNA synthetases). tRNAs cope with the degeneracy of the genetic code in two manners: having more than one tRNA (with a specific anti-codon) for a particular amino acid; and 'wobble' base-pairing, i.e. permitting non-standard base-pairing at the 3rd anti-codon position. The record is from RNAcentral. Lineage: Eukaryota; Metazoa; Chordata; Mammalia; Chiroptera; Pteropodidae.
CAUUAAGAAGCUUAUUUACAAGCAUUAGCCUUUUAAGCUAAAGAGUGAGAGUUUAAGCCUCUCCUUAAUGA